UGUUUCUGGGCUGGCCAUCCGAUGAUAAACACAGAAGAAAACUCGGAAGUAGAAUUCAAAACUUGAGAGAAUGAAAUCGGGUUCUUGACAGUGAAAAUAGCUGCAAAGCGAAUUUUGAGAUGAAUAGUGAAAAAUUUCCAUAAGUGAGAAGAUUGUGUCGGCAUCCUACAUUCGCCAGGGGUCACAGGCACGUGACAGUCAUGAGCAGCUGAUUAGACAGCUUUUGGACCAGGAACCAAACAGCAAAAUGAACUGGCUGUGAUGGACAGUAACAACUUCUUUGGAAACUGUGGUGUUGGUGAGAGGGAGGGCAGAAUGGC
Long non-coding RNA from Oncorhynchus nerka (sockeye salmon), 320 nucleotides. RefSeq lists it as uncharacterized. Lineage: Eukaryota; Metazoa; Chordata; Actinopteri; Salmoniformes; Salmonidae. The transcript is spliced from 3 exons. The record is from RefSeq and is a predicted model, not a curated record.